GGGUCAGUAGGUUGGUCGUGCCACCGGUACGUACUGGUCUCACUGAUUCCUCCUUCCUGAAGAACCGUAAUGCCAUUAAUUUGGUGUUGCGGGGAAACAGGACUGUCACUUUGAAAAAAUUAGAGUGUUUAACGCAAGCUAACGCUUGAAUACAUUAGCAUGGAAUAAUGAAAUAGGACGAUCGAUCCUAUUUUGUUGGUUUCUAGGAUUGACGUA
RNAcentral lists this ribosomal RNA (216 nucleotides) under Glomeromycotina sp. RNAcentral describes it as "partial small subunit ribosomal RNA". The stretch from base 44 to 216 matches the Rfam family "Eukaryotic small subunit ribosomal RNA", at positions 690 to 864 of the family's 1831-position model. The record is from RNAcentral. Lineage: Eukaryota; Fungi; Glomeromycota.